UCCACGAUGAAGAGUUCAAAUGUUUCCUUCAGCGCAGGAAAGUGGUGGAAGAGUUUGUUUCUCCUCCACUGUUGAAGACUGUUCAGAGUUUCUCUGAUGGAGGAAACAUAGUCUGAGUGGA
This is a non-coding RNA of Xyrichtys novacula (pearly razorfish), 121 nucleotides long. Lineage: Eukaryota; Metazoa; Chordata; Actinopteri; Labriformes; Labridae. The record is from the annotation of a GenBank genome assembly.